AUUGGUAAUAGAUAAAUUCUGUACCAAAUAGGUCAUAUUCCAAGUAGCAUCCAAGUUUAGCAAAUUCCAGAAGUUUCUUUGUAUCAAAUAUGCUCCUGUCGAGGUGAGACAUGACUGUUUUGGAAGCGUCAGCCCCAGCUUCCUGCAGGAUACGAACUAUCUGGAAGGGUGCAUCGCUGUGCCUGCCAGGGUGGAUGAUGAUGGGGCACCCGAUCUGUGCCUGUGCGUGUGCAGUCGCCUGCAGCACCCUGCGCUCGCUUGCAGUCAUGGGCCAGGAGCAGCCGAUCUCUCCCACCACUCCACACCUGAUGUCAGUCCCAUCUGCUCCAUGGAGGAUCUCAUCAACAAUGAUGUCUGUGAGCUGCUCCACUGUCAUAGCCUGUGUUUGAGAAGAAUGCGUGGAAUCCACAUAAAACCCUGCCCCAGCAAUAAUAUGGACUCCAGUUUCUUCAGAGAGUUUCUUCAAAGUCUUCAUAUCCCGACGGAUUCCCGUGGUCGUGUUCUCCACAACAGUCCCACCACCUGCUGCUUUAAAAUGCAGCAGCUCCUCCCUCA
This 555-nucleotide long non-coding RNA is filed under the name Gallus gallus (chicken). The record is from RNAcentral. Lineage: Eukaryota; Metazoa; Chordata; Aves; Galliformes; Phasianidae.